CUCCCACUAUAUUGAUGCGAGGUGUGCCAUAUAAGGCACAUCACCCCCUCUCCGUUUGGUCGAUGUGGGAUCUCACAAUCCACCCCCCUUAAGGGAUCCGACGUCCUCGUCGGCACACUCGCACCACACGGCAGAGUGGCUCUGAUACCAAACUGUCACACCCCGGACCGGCUCCGCCGUAGCAGGAUAUUGUCCGCUUUGGGCCUGGCUACAUUCUCACCAGCCCGCACGGUUUUGUUUCUGGGAGCUCACGAAGCAACUUCCCAGGGUGGUCACCCAUCCUGGGAUUGCUCCAGCCUCCAACUCGCUUAACUUUGGAGUUCCUACGAACCCAAAGCCAGUGAGCUCCCAAAAG
This 355-nucleotide long non-coding RNA is filed under the name Prunus dulcis (almond). Its description in RNAcentral is "sRNA ncRNA". The record is from RNAcentral. Lineage: Eukaryota; Viridiplantae; Streptophyta; Magnoliopsida; Rosales; Rosaceae.